AGUGAACGCUGGCGGCGUGCUUAACACAUGCAAGUCGAACGAGAACGGAAUAUAGCUUGCUAUAUUUGUCAGCUAAGUGGCGCACGGGUGAGUAAUGUAUAGAUAACCUGCCCUUAAGAAGGGAAUAACAGUUGGAAACGACUGCUAAUGCCCUAUAUGCCUUUAAUACAUAAGUAUGCAAGGGAAGCGCUUUAGUGCUUAAGGAUGGGUCUGUAUGGUAUCAGCUUGUUGGUGAGGUAAUGGCUCACCAAGGCUAUGACGCCUAACUGGUUUGAGAGGAUGAUCAGUCACACUGGAACUGAGACACGGUCCAGACUCCUACGGGAGGCAGCAGUGGGGAAUAUUGCACAAUGGACGAAAGUCUGAUGCAGCAACGCCGCGUGGAGGAUGACACAUUUCGGUGCGUAAACUCCUUUUAUAUAGGAAGAUAAUGACGGUACUAUAUGAAUAAGCACCGGCUAACUCCGUGCCAGCAGCCGCAGUAA
Molecule: ribosomal RNA, 485 nt
Filed under: uncultured bacterium
Lineage: Bacteria
Description: partial 16S ribosomal RNA
Rfam family: Bacterial small subunit ribosomal RNA
Source: RNAcentral